UGGGCGUAAGAGCUCGUAGGCGGUUUGUCGCGUCUGCCGUGAAAGUCCGGGGCUCAACUCCGGAUCUGCGGUGGGUACGGGCAGACUAGAGUGAUGUAGGGGAGACUGGAAUUCCUGGUGUAGCGGUGAAAUGCGCAGAUAUCAGGAGGAACACCGAUGGCGAAGGCAGGUCUCUGGGCAUUAACUGACGCUGAGGAGCGAAAGCAUGGGGAGCGAACAGGAUUAGAUACCCUGGUAGUCCAUGCCGUAAACGUUGGGCACUAGGUGUGGGGGACAUUCCACGUUUUCCGCGCCGUAGCUAACGCAUUAAGUGCCCCGCCUGGGGAGUACGGCCGCAAGGCUAAAACUCAAAGGAAUUGACGGGGGCCCGCACAAGCGGCGGAGCAUGCGGAUUAAUUCGAUGCAACGCGAAGAACCUUACCAAGGCUUGACAUGAACUGGAAACACUUGGAAACAAGUGCCCCGCUUGCGGUCGGUUUACAGGUGGUGCAUGGUUGUCGUCAGCUCGUGUCGUGAGAUGUUGGGUUAAGUCCCGCAACGAGCGCAACCCUCGUUCUAUGUUGCCAGCACGUAGUGGUGGGGACUCAUAGGAGACUGCCGGGGUCAACUCGGAGGAAGGUGAGGACGACGUCAAAUCAUCAUGCCCCUUAUGUCUUGGGCUUCACGCAUGCUACAAUGGCCGGUACAAUGGGUUGCGAUACUGUGAGGUGGAGCUAAUCCCAAAAAGCCGGUCUCAGUUCGGAUUGGGGUCUGCAACUCGACCCCAUGAAGUCGGAGUCGCUAGUAAUCGCAGAUCAGCAACGCUGCGGUGAAUACGUUCCCGGG
Molecule: ribosomal RNA, 825 nt
Filed under: Arthrobacter sp. GB04J08
Lineage: Bacteria; Bacillati; Actinomycetota; Actinomycetes; Micrococcales; Micrococcaceae
Description: bacterial SSU rRNA
Rfam family: Bacterial small subunit ribosomal RNA
Source: RNAcentral